RNAcentral lists this ribosomal RNA (492 nucleotides) under uncultured bacterium. Its description in RNAcentral is "partial 16S ribosomal RNA". It matches the Rfam family "Bacterial small subunit ribosomal RNA", at positions 29 to 507 of the family's 1533-position model. The record is from RNAcentral.
AGUGAACGCUGGCGGUAGGCCUAACACAUGCAAGUCGAACGGCAGCACAGUAAGAGCUUGCUCUUACGGGUGGCGAGUGGCGGACGGGUGAGGAAUACAUCGGAAUCUACUUUUUCGUGGGGGAUAGCGUAGGGAAACUUACGCUAAUACCGCAUACGACCUACGGGUGAAAGCAGGGGAUCUUCGGACCUUGCGCGAUUGAAUGAGCCGAUGUCGGAUUAGCUAGUUGGCGGGGUAAAGGCCCACCAAGGCGACGAUCCGUAGCUGGUCUGAGAGGAUGAUCAGCCACACUGGAACUGAGACAGGGUCCAGACUCCGACGGGAGGCAGCAGUGGGGAAUAUUGGACAAUGGGCGCAAGCCUGAUCCAGCCAUACCGCGUGGGUGAAGAAGGCCUUCGGGUUGUAAAGCCCUUUUGUUGGGAAAGAAAAGCAGCAGGUUAAUACCCCGCUGUUCUGACGGUACCCAAAGAAUAAGCACCGGCUAACUUCGUG